AUGCAAGUCGAACGAAGUAGCAAUACUUAGUGGCAGACGGGUGAGUAACAUGUAGGUAUCUGCCCUUUGGCCUGGAAUAACACGAGGAAACUUGUGCUAAUACCGGAUAAGUCUUUACGGAGAAAGCUUUAUGCACCAUUGGAUGAGCCUGCACUUGAUUAGUUUGUUGGUGGGGUAAUGGCCUACCAAGACUGUGAUCAAUAGCUGAUUUGAGAGGAUGAUCAGCCACAUUGGGACUGAGACACGGCCCAAACUCCUACGGGAGGCAGCAGUGGGGAAUCUUGCACAAUGGAGGAAACUCUGAUGCAGCGAUGCCGCGUGAGUGAAGAAGGCCCUUGGGUUGUAAAGCUCUUUCGUCGGGGAAGAAAAUGACUGUACCCGAAUAAGAAGGUCCGGCUAACUUCGUGCCAGCAGCCGCGGUAAUACGAAGGGACCUAGCGUAGUUCGGAAUUACUGGGCUUAAAGAGUUCGUAGGUGGUUGAAAAAGUUAGUGGUGAAAUCCCAGAGCUUAACUCUGGAACUGCCAAUAAAACUUUUCAGCUAGAGUAUGAUAGAGGAAAGCAGAAUUUCUAGUGUAGAGGUGAAAUUCGUAGAUAUUAGAAAGAAUACCAAUUGCGAAGGCAGCUUUCUGGAUCAUUACUGACACUGAGGAACGAAAGCAUGGGUAGCGAAGAGGAUUAGAUACCCUCGUAGUCCAUGCCGUAAACGAUGUGUGUUAGACGUUGGAAAUUUAUUUUCAGUGUCGCAGCGAAAGCGAUAAACACACCGCCUGGGGAGUACGACCGCAAGGUUAAAACUCAAAUGAAUUGACGGGGACCCGCACAAGUAGUGGAGCAUGUGGUUUAAUUCGAAGAUACGCGCAG
This 863-nucleotide ribosomal RNA is filed under the name uncultured Alphaproteobacteria bacterium. RNAcentral's name for it is "bacterial SSU rRNA". It matches the Rfam family "Bacterial small subunit ribosomal RNA", at positions 55 to 966 of the family's 1533-position model. The record is from RNAcentral. Lineage: Bacteria; Pseudomonadati; Pseudomonadota; Alphaproteobacteria.